GACGAACGCUGGCGGCGUGCUUAACACAUGCAAGUCGAACGGAAAGGCCCUGCUUGCAGGGUACUCGAGUGGCGAACGGGUGAGUAACACGUGGGUGAUCUGCCCUGCACUUCGGGAUAAGCCUGGGAAACUGGGUCUAAUACCGGAUAGGGGCCAUUUUUAGUGUGAUGGUUGGAAAGUUUUUUCGGUGUAGGAUGAGCUCGCGGCCUAUCAGCUUGUUGGUGGGGUAAUGGCCUACCAAGGCGGCGACGGGUAGCCGGCCUGAGAGGGUGGACGGCCACAUUGGGACUGAGAUACGGCCCAGACUCCUACGGGAGGCAGCAGUGGGGAAUAUUGCACAAUGGGCGCAAGCCUGAUGCAGCGACGCCGCGUGGGGGAUGACGGCCUUCGGGUUGUAAACUCCUUUCGCUAGGGACGAAGCUUUUGUGACGGUACCUAGAUAAGAAGCACCGGCUAACUACGUG
This 464-nucleotide ribosomal RNA is filed under the name uncultured bacterium. RNAcentral describes it as "partial 16S ribosomal RNA". It matches the Rfam family "Bacterial small subunit ribosomal RNA", at positions 28 to 507 of the family's 1533-position model. The record is from RNAcentral.